UACGAAGGGGGCUAGCGUUGCUCGGAAUCACUGGGCGUAAAGGGUGCGUAGGCGGGUCUUUAAGUCAGGGGUGAAAUCCUGGAGCUCAACUCCAGAACUGCCUUUGAUACUGGCGAUCUCGAGUCCGGGAGAGGUGAGUGGAACUGCGAGUGUAGAGGUGAAAUUCGUAGAUAUUCGCAAGAACACCAGUGGCGAAGGCGGCUCACUGGCCCGGUACUGACGCUGAGACGCGAAAGCGUGGGGAGCGAACAGG
This 253-nucleotide ribosomal RNA is filed under the name uncultured bacterium. RNAcentral's name for it is "partial 16S ribosomal RNA". It matches the Rfam family "Bacterial small subunit ribosomal RNA", at positions 524 to 776 of the family's 1533-position model. The record is from RNAcentral.